UUGAACGCUGGCGGCAUGCCUAACACAUGCAAGUCGAACGGCAGCGCGGGGGCAACCCUGGCGGCGAGUGGCGGACGGGUGAGGAAUGCAUCGGAAUCUGCCCUGUUGUGGGGGAUAACCAACCGAAAGGUUGGCUAAUACCGCAUGAGACGGCGACGUGAAAGCGGGGGAUCUUUGGACCUCGCGCGACAGGAUGAGCCGAUGCCGGAUUAGCUAGUUGGUGGGGUAAAGGCCCACCAAGGCGACGAUCCGUAGCUGGUCUGAGAGGAUGAUCAGCCACACUGGAACUGAGACACGGUCCAGACUCCUACGGGAGGCAGCAGUGGGGAAUAUUGGACAAUGGGCGAAAGCCUGAUCCAGCCAUGCCGCGUGUGUGAAGAAGGUCUUCGGAUUGUAAAGCACUUUAAGUUGGGAGGAAGGGCAUUAACCUAAUACGUUAGUGUUUUGACGUUACCGACAGAAUAAGCACCGGCUAACUUCGU
Molecule: ribosomal RNA, 482 nt
Filed under: uncultured bacterium
Lineage: Bacteria
Description: bacterial SSU rRNA
Rfam family: Bacterial small subunit ribosomal RNA
Source: RNAcentral